AGCUUUACGCAGUGGCAGUAUCGUAGCCAAUGAGGUUUAUCCGAGGCGCGAUUAUUGCUAAUUGAAAAUUAAGAAAAAUCAGUAAUGAUUAAAUAACUAAAAAAAAAUCCUUAUAUAUUCUUGAUCUAGACAUUAGUUA
Neomonachus schauinslandi (Hawaiian monk seal) is the source of this 139-nucleotide small nuclear RNA. RefSeq annotates it as U4 spliceosomal RNA. The record is from RefSeq and is a predicted model, not a curated record. Lineage: Eukaryota; Metazoa; Chordata; Mammalia; Carnivora; Phocidae. The transcript has a single exon.